UCCUAGUCUACCUGCGACCAACUCAACC
RNAcentral lists this non-coding RNA (28 nucleotides) under Bombyx mori (domestic silkworm). The record is from RNAcentral. Lineage: Eukaryota; Metazoa; Arthropoda; Insecta; Lepidoptera; Bombycidae.